UAGGGAAUCUUCGGCAAUGGGGGCAACCCUGACCGAGCAACGCCGCGUGAGUGAAGAAGGUUUUCGGAUCGUAAAGCUCUGUUGUAAGAGAAGAACGUGUGUGAGAGUGGAAAGUUCACACAGUGACGGUAACUUACCAGAAAGGGACGGCUAAUUACGUGCCAGCAGCCGCGGUAAUACGUAGGUCCCGAGCGUUGUCCGGAUUUAUUGGGCGUAAAGCGAGCGCAGGCGGUUUAAUAAGUCUGAAGUUAAAGGCAGUGGCUUAACCAUUGUUCGCUUUGGAAACUGUUAAACUUGAGUGCAGAAGGGGAGAGUGGAAUUCCAUGUGUAGCGAUGAAAUGCGUAGAUAUAUGGAGGAACACCGGUGGCGAAAGCGGCUCUCUGGUCUGUAACUGACGCUGAGGCUCGAAAGCGUGGGGAGCAAACAGG
This 429-nucleotide ribosomal RNA is filed under the name bacterium. RNAcentral describes it as "partial 16S ribosomal RNA". It matches the Rfam family "Bacterial small subunit ribosomal RNA", at positions 355 to 776 of the family's 1533-position model. The record is from RNAcentral.